This 120-nucleotide ribosomal RNA is filed under the name uncultured bacterium. Its description in RNAcentral is "partial 16S ribosomal RNA". It matches the Rfam family "Bacterial small subunit ribosomal RNA", at positions 796 to 916 of the family's 1533-position model. The record is from RNAcentral.
CACGCCGUAAACGAUGAGCACUAGGUGUCGGGGUCGCAAGAUCUCGGUGCCGCAGUUAACGCAUUAAGUGCUCCGCCUGGGGAGUACGCACGCAAGUGUGAAACUCAAAGGAAUUGACGG